CCAGACUCCUACGGGAGGCAGCAGUGGGGAAUAUUGGGCAAUGGGCGCAAGCCUGACCCAGCAAUGCCGCGUGAAGGAAGAAGGCUUUCGGGUUGUAAACUUCUUUGACAGGGGAAGAGCAGAAGACGGUACCCUGAAAACAAGCCACGGCUAACUACGUGCCAGCAGCCGCGGUAAUACGUAGGGAGCAAGCGUUGUCCGGAAUUACUGGGCGUAAAGGGCGCGUAGGUGGGCGCUUAAGUCAGGUGUGAAAACUCCGGGCUCAACCUGGAGACUGCACUUGAAACUGGGUGUCUUGAGGGCAGGAGAGGAAAGUGGAAUUCCUAGUGUAGCGGUGAAAUGCGUAGAUAUUAGGAAGAACACCAGUGGCGAAGGCGGAUGACUGGACGACAACUGACGGUGAGGCGCGAAAGCGUGGGGAGCAAACAGGAUUAGAUACCCCUGUACA
This 448-nucleotide ribosomal RNA is filed under the name uncultured bacterium. RNAcentral describes it as "bacterial SSU rRNA". It matches the Rfam family "Bacterial small subunit ribosomal RNA", at positions 331 to 794 of the family's 1533-position model. The record is from RNAcentral.